UCAUUAGACACUUUUCUUCUU
Molecule: non-coding RNA, 21 nt
Filed under: Caenorhabditis elegans
Lineage: Eukaryota; Metazoa; Nematoda; Chromadorea; Rhabditida; Rhabditidae
Source: RNAcentral